CCUACGGGAGGCUGCAGUGGGGAAUAUUGGACAAUGGGGGGAACCCUGAUCCAGCCAUGCCGCGUGUGUGAAGAAGGCCCUCGGGUUGUAAAGCACUUUCAGUGAGGAAGAACGCCUGGUGGUUAAUACCCAUCAGGAAAGACAUCACUCACAGAAGAAGCACCGGCUAACUCCGUGCCAGCAGCCGCGGUAAUACGGAGGGUGCGAGCGUUAAUCGGAAUGACUGGGCGUAAAGCGCGCGUAGGUGGCUUGAUAAGCCGGUUGUGAAAGCCCCGGGCUCAACCUGGGAACGGCAUCCGGAACUGUCAAGCUAGAGUGCAGGAGAGGAAGGUAGAAUUCCCGGUGUAGCGGUGAAAUGCGUAGAGAUCGGGAGGAAUACCAGUGGCGAAGGCGGCCUUCUGGACUGACACUGACACUGAGGUGCGAAAGCGUGGGUAGCAAACAGGAUUAGAUACCCCAGUAGUC
This 465-nucleotide ribosomal RNA is filed under the name Vreelandella stevensii. RNAcentral's name for it is "partial 16S ribosomal RNA". It matches the Rfam family "Bacterial small subunit ribosomal RNA", at positions 338 to 795 of the family's 1533-position model. The record is from RNAcentral. Lineage: Bacteria; Pseudomonadati; Pseudomonadota; Gammaproteobacteria; Oceanospirillales; Halomonadaceae.